UGGGGAAUAUUGCACAAUGGGCGGAAGCCUGAUGCAGCGACCCGCUGGGGGAUGAAGGCCUUCGGGUUGUAAACUCCUUUCGACAGGGACGAAGCUUUUGUGACGGUACCUGUAUAAGAAGCACCGGCUAACUACGUGCCAGCAGCCGCGGAAAUACGUAGGGUGCGAGCGUUGUCCGGAAUUACUGGCCGUAAAGUGCAAGUAGGUGGUUUGUCGCGUCGUCUGUGAAAUUCCGGGGCUUAACUCCGGGCGUGCAGGCGAUACGGGCUGACUUGAGUGCUGUAGGGGAGACUGGAAUUCCUGGUGUAGCGGUGAAAUGCGCAGAUAUCAGGAGGACCACCGAUGGCGAAGGCAGGUCUCUGGGCAGUAACUGACGCUGAGGAGCGAAAGCUUGGGUAGCGAACAGGAUUAGAUACCCUGGUAGUCCAUGCCGUAAACGGUGGGCGCUAGGUGUAGGGGGCUUCCACGUCUUCUGUGCCGUAGCUAACGCAUUAAGCGCCCCGCCUGGGGAGUACGGCCGCAAGCUAA
This 528-nucleotide ribosomal RNA is filed under the name uncultured bacterium. RNAcentral's name for it is "bacterial SSU rRNA". It matches the Rfam family "Bacterial small subunit ribosomal RNA", at positions 355 to 897 of the family's 1533-position model. The record is from RNAcentral.